GCCUAUCCAUGCCAGUCGAGCGAACAGACAAGGAGCUUGCUCCUUUGACGUUAGCGGCGGACGGGUGAGUAACACGUGGGUAACCUACCUAUAAGACUGGGAUAACUUCGGGAAACCGGAGCUAAUACCGGAUAAUAUUUCGAACCGCAUGGUUCGAUAGUGAAAGAUGGUUUUGCUAUCACUUAUAGAUGGACCCGCGCCGUAUUAGCUAGUUGGUAAGGUAACGGCUUACCAAGGCGACGAUACGUAGCCGACCUGAGAGGGUGAUCGGCCACACUGGAACUGAGACACGGUCCAGACUCCUACGGGAGGCAGCAGUAGGGAAUCUUCCGCAAUGGGCGAAAGCCUGACGGAGCAACGCCGCGUGAGUGAUGAAGGUCUUCGGAUCGUAAAACUCUGUUAUUAGGGAAGAACAUACGUGUAAGUAACUAUGCACGUCUUGACGGUACCUAAUCAGAAAGCCACGGCUAACUACGUGCCAGCAGCCGCGGUAAUACGUAGGUGGCAAGCGUUAUCCGGAAUUAUUGGGCGUAAAGCGCGCGUAGGCGGUUUUUUAAGUCUGAUGUGAAAGCCCACGGCUCAACCGUGGAGGGUCAUUGGAAACUGGAAAACUUGAGUGCAGAAGAGGAAAGUGGAAUUCCAUGUGUAGCGGUGAAAUGCGCAGAGAUAUGGAGGAACACCAGUGGCGAAGGCGACUUUCUGGUCUGUAACUGACGCUGAUGUGCGAAAGCGUGGGGAUCAAACAGGAUUAGAUACCUUUGGAAGUCCAAGUGUGA
Molecule: ribosomal RNA, 776 nt
Filed under: Staphylococcus epidermidis
Lineage: Bacteria; Bacillati; Bacillota; Bacilli; Caryophanales; Staphylococcaceae
Description: bacterial SSU rRNA
Rfam family: Bacterial small subunit ribosomal RNA
Source: RNAcentral